Pangasianodon hypophthalmus (striped catfish) is the source of this 4076-nucleotide long non-coding RNA. RefSeq lists it as uncharacterized. The transcript has 3 exons. Lineage: Eukaryota; Metazoa; Chordata; Actinopteri; Siluriformes; Pangasiidae. The record is from RefSeq and is a predicted model, not a curated record.
GGUGAACUUGCGUGUUGCUCACUUGACUAUUGCGAUAAGAUUUUACGGCUUUGUUUAUGUUGCCAUUUUUUAUUUUACUUUAGUCACUGUUACUAUUGUUACAGCCAUGAAGAUGGAGAGGCCAACGAAGAAAUGACAGAAAAUGAGUUCAGAGCGGGUGAAGACAACAGCCAUGAAGAUGAUGAGGACGAGUACCAAUGUGUGUGUGUGUGGCCUGGUAAUAUUUUGUAAAUAUUUCAUAAUUUUAUAAAAUUAUUUCAUAAUUUUUAUUUACUGGCACUAAUACAAUUGUAUGGAAAAACAAUGCAUGCUAAAACAGAUUUCAUGUAGUGUAUUUACCCCUCUUUUUUGGGGAAAGGGAGGCAGAGGGGGGCGCCACCCAUGAUCUUGCAUACCCCUCAGCAAAUGAUCAGUCGCGCCCCUGUUCUUAGUACAACUCUGUGUGGUACUGUUGUGAGUUUAUAAGGUACAGCGGUGGUGUUGGUAUUUUAAACACUUUGUACAUUAAGUGAAUUUUAUUACAUUCACCUACUAUGUAGGUCCACUUUGUAGGAGUACAAUAAGAGAAUAAAGCUCAUCCUUUUCCUCACUUAAGUUGCUUUCAAGCUUUUUUCAGUGUUAGUUUCUGACUAUAGGACAUCCCAGUUUCACAGAAAAAAGGUCACAUGCAACUUAUCUGGAGCACCUUUGAUACAUUGAAUAUCAGCGUUCUGUCACAAGAAUGUGGUGCAGAGCACCGUAUCAAACAUUCACUUGAAUGCUCUGUAUGGAAUGUUCUGGACCAGUGUAUUUUAACCAACCUAAUCUCUACCACUAGUCUAUUUGAAUAAGAUCGAUAUGUAAUAAAUAAUUUUACUUAUUUUUUAAACAUACUGAGCAUAGAAAAAAGAAGCCUAACUUCUCCUCUUCUCUGCAAACACAAUCAGGCUUGCAAGUCAUGGUAUGGUAACGUGUAGAGGUUAGCUUGGUUAAAAUACUUUGGUCCAGAACAUGACAUAUAGAGCAUAUGAGUGAAAGUUAGAGAUGUUGCUAUGCAAGGUACGCUUGUGUCUCAGUGUUUAAGUCUAGGCUGAAAACUGUUUAGUCAAGCCUUUUGUGAAUAGUUUUGUCUUAGGUAAAGGAGCAGAUUUGGAGGGCUCACGGGCACAGGGUGUUGUAGUGAACUGGGAUGUAUGGACGCUGUUGCCCCCCCACCCUCACGCAUUCAAUCAGCUUUGUUGACGGUGGAGUGGCUGGCCACUUUUUGUCCCAAGGCGCCCUCAUGUCUAUGUUACCUUCUGGCUCUCCCUUUUAGUUAUUCUGUCAUAGCUAGUGUUGCCGGAGUCCCUGCUUGCACUCUGCAUGCAAAGUACAUUGUCCUUAACCAUUAUGGGACAAAAAACAUAACUAAUAAUCCAGGAUACCAGUGAUCCUGACCCGUUCUGUUCUCUGGACCUGCCUGAUCCCUCCUGAUGCCCUACUUCUGGUUGGAGUUCUCAUCAGUUGGAAAUCACUCGCUGCUGCUGAGGAUGGCCCCACAUGGGCAGCCUGAAGAUCAAUGAGAUUACUGAGGAUGGUACCACUUAAAAACCAUGAAGAUGGCUUUGGACCACAAUUCAAAUGAACAGUUAUGCUAUGAUGGCUUAGGACUACAAUUGCUGCAAGGACUGCAAUUGCCACGAACAGUUUUGCACUCAAGUCUCCAUCAGUGAACAGUGGAUAAGUUCAAGAAAUUAUAGAAGGGAUUUAUUUAUAAUUUCACUAUCCGUUGUCACCCAGAUGAGGAUGGGUACCCUUUGGUUUCUUCUUCAGAUCUUCUCAGGGAGUUUUUCCUUGCUACUGUCACCUCUGGCUUGCUCAUUAGGAAUAAAUUCAUACAUUUAAAAUUUAUAUCUUGAAUGUAUUUAUUUCUGUAAAGCUGCCUUAUGACAACAUCCAUUGUUAAAAGUGCUAUACAAAUAAAAUUGAAUUGAAUUGUACCAGAAAGUUGAUGCAAAUAGGUUGCAUGUGAGCAUUUUUUCUGCCAAUACAAAUGUCACUGCUGUGCCAAGAAUGGUCUACUCCAAGUAACAUCUGCUUUGUACUGAUUUCUACAGUGGAGUAGAAAGUGCCUACUACAUAGUGUGGAGCAGUAGCUUCAGUCAAGACCUACAAUGUGCACCUAGAGAAUAUUGUUGUUGGGCCAUAAGAAAUAACCAGUAAUUUUAGCUAGGUGUACAGCUGUACAUUUAAAGCAGUGAUUAAUAUGAAUGAUCUUUGUCUACUCAGUAGGUUCAGAUAAUUUUUCUUAUUCUCCACAUUUAAAACAAGUGGCAAUUUGCUGGAUACAAUUGGAUACACAAUGCUGGAUCCAACAUCUUCACUGAUCGUCUUGCCUGGGCUGUGGCUCAGAUUGCAAACUCUGCCUCAUCAUUUGUUUAUACACUUCCAACAGCAGUGUUUCUCAUGGAUGUGUUACUUGUGAGCAACCAUCAUGGCAAGUCAGGGGAUGGAGAAGAGCAAAGUGGAUGCAAAUGGGGUGGGCAAUAUGGCCUUCAAAUAAUAUCACGAUAUUUGGGGAUAUUUUUUUUGUGACAACAAUAUUCACUAACAAUAUAUAUUUAAAAAAUACUUCAAAGUGUUUUAAAAUGUUAAUUGCAGCCAAUCCUCCAAUCUUAAGUACAAAUUCUAUUAAAUAUACAUUAAAUUAUAAUCUUCACGUUUUCAGUGUAAUAGUAAAAAAUAUAAAAUAAAAAAUAUAAAACCUUCAAAUAUAUAUAUAAAAAAUAUAUAAUAUAUACUGUUACACAUCAUGCACGCAAUUCACAUACACUUGCUUACGUCACAAUAUACCAAAAGCCUGUCAAAUUUAAUAAGACACGGGGACUAUCAUGAACAAUAUUAUAUCGCCCACCUCUAUAUGCAAUCUACCAUAUGUUUUUAAGCUCUUAGAAUUCAGUAGCUAUAUUUUGGAGGAUUUGUGGAUUUAUAUCUGUUAUCCUUGGAGGUUCAUGCCUUAUCUAGAGCACCAUGUGUUCUGCAAGUUUUAUUGAGUGCAUAAACAUUUCAAUUAAAUGUACAACUACUAUACUUCAACAGUAUUUGUACUUUGCCUUUUCUUUAUUUAUUCUCACAGGAGCAACACUGACAAAGUGGCUGUAGAACCCCUGUGUGUAAGGGUGUGUAGGAAGACUCAGGAGGCAGGCGGAAUCUUAACUGAGCUCUGGGCUUACAUUUUUUCAGACUGCGCUUUUCAGUGCACUUUCAAAGUUCAACAGAAAACAACACAAAACUCGUGACUUUUGCUCUGUCAGGUUCAAGUUCACACUUCUUGGCAUGUGUAUGUGUGUGUCUCGCAAGUUCUGCCAAGCAGUCUCGCACUCUGUCUCUCUCUCUCUUUGACAGACGGCAAUCGCUGCUGUCUUAUGAAUUUGGGGACGCACUUGCCCAUGGCCCAAGUGGAAGCCCAGAUUCGUGCACAAUUGCACAAUCCUUUGGGUUUUCUGUGAGUCCUGCCCAUCUCAUGGUUCUCAGGACAGCUCUCAGAUGUUGUAAAUGCCAGUGCCAAUCAUUAAUAUAAAUAAUUAUGUCAUCUAAGUAGAUAGCCGCAUAUGCAUUGUGCGGGCGGAAGAUUCUGUCCAUGAGACGUUGAAACGUGGCUGGGGCUCCAAACAACCCAAACGGAAGGGUGACAAUCUGGUGUAAACCAAAUGGAGUGGAAAAGGCCAUUUGUUAGCGAGAUAUUGGAGUCAAGGGAAUGAAAUAGGCUGCACUUUAGACUUACCUCCGGUCCCAGCUCCUCCCUCUCAGGAACCAGCAUCGCCAGAGCCAUGGUUUUAGGAGGUUGAGGUGGUAUGUUUGCAUUGCUUCUAUCCAUUUGCCUAACCUCAUAGCCAACUUCUCCGACUUGCUGUGUGACCUCAAAGGGUCCUUGCCACUUUGUGAGUAAUUUAGAGCUCAAUGUGGGUAUUAAAACGAGUAUUUUAUCUCCGGGACAAAUUCCCGUAGCCAAGUACCCCUGUCAUGCAGUCAGGUCUGUCGAUCUUGGGUCUGGUGCAAACUCUCCUGUGUUAGGUGCAUACUCCUAGUUUUCCCUAAUGAUGUCGAAGAUGCCUCAA